Long non-coding RNA from Prosopis cineraria, 482 nucleotides. RefSeq lists it as uncharacterized. NCBI's taxonomy places the organism in Eukaryota, Viridiplantae, Streptophyta, Magnoliopsida, Fabales, Fabaceae. The transcript has 2 exons. The record is from RefSeq and is a predicted model, not a curated record.
UCAUGGUCAGUUGUAUGUUGCUUUAUUGAGGGUGAAAUUUAGGCAUGGGUUGAGGAUAUUGAUACAUAAUGAUGAUAAUACAUCAUCCAACAUGUCUCAAAAUGUUGUCUUCCAGGAAGUUUUUGACAAUAUCCCUAUGAUGUAGUUGACAUGCACCAUCGUGAGCAGAGGAUUACAUUGUGGUGCGAGAGAUUCAAUAUUGUGCUAAUCGGACGCCAAGGAUGAUAGAAUGAAUUGCAGGCUGUAUCGUCAUUUUUUUCCCAUUACUGUUGCUUUAGGUUUCUAUCAAAUUAAUGACGUUCAAUUUCUCGUGUUAUUUUUUCUCAGUGAAGGAGAUAUCUGUAACUUGUGUCAGUUAAUACUAUUGGAUUAUUUAUUCUAAAUUUUUUUCCCACUAUCAUUAGUGGCUAUUUUGUGGUCAAUGUAUUAACACCAUAGUGUGCGUGUAUUGGCUCUUUAUGCAGUUAAAAUCUACCACCUCA